CGAAGACGAUGCUGUAUAAAGACUAUACGAAGGUUCAACAGGAAGAAAGAGAGGAUAUCAGCUUCAACCAAUCAAUGAGAAUUGAAGAUUACAGAAACGAACUUCAUGGCAUUGAUAAGUGAUGAAUACCCUGAAAAAGAAACAAAACUCCAUCACUACCCUUUCUCAGCAGGAACGAACCUUUCAACUGAAAAAAACAAAAUGUGAACUCUUUGUAAACCUUGUUAGGCAGCUGUUAAUAAAUCCAGGAACGAGCCUCAUGAUAUUGAAACGAAGAUCACAAGAAAAGACACAGACUUCCGCCACUGUAAGAUACUGCUGUAACCAGAAAUUUUAAGCUAUCUUAAUGAACAAUUUGACUAGUAAUAGUAUCAACCUACUACUG
Molecule: long non-coding RNA, 385 nt
Organism: Bolinopsis microptera
Lineage: Eukaryota; Metazoa; Ctenophora; Tentaculata; Lobata; Bolinopsidae
Exons: 4
Source: RefSeq, a predicted model, not a curated record